Long non-coding RNA from Micropterus dolomieu (smallmouth bass), 1466 nucleotides. RefSeq lists it as uncharacterized. The record is from RefSeq and is a predicted model, not a curated record. The transcript has 5 exons. NCBI's taxonomy places the organism in Eukaryota, Metazoa, Chordata, Actinopteri, Centrarchiformes, Centrarchidae.
GACUCUGGGCCGAUUCCGCCUCCAAACCGGCAGAUCCGUGUAACAGUCACGCCCGUUUUACUGCCCCGUUCCAGAUACGGCCCGCAUGUAGUCUGUGUGCACUCAGGAGUGGGCGUGAGCCUCCAUCAGUCGGCGGAAUCAUAAUAGUUCUGGCCCGGACUCGUCGGAACGAGCGCGUGAACUGUUUGUCUUUCUUUGGAUCAGUUCGGACUGUAAGCUUUGUGUAAAGAGUUUAUAACGGUUCAGUCUUUUCUCCAACCCUGGCUGAGAGCCCGGGAUUAUAGGAGGCUCAACGGAAGAACCAAGCUGCUAGCAGCGCAUCGGACAACGAGAUUAACCCGCACGCCAUCCGCUGGUUCAACCUGGCCUCUGACUGUGGAGGUGGCCGCAACGAACGUGCCAUGGCCAGAGAGGCAUUAACCGUGGCUGUGUCCCUGUGGAUUGAAGACCCGCCUACUUCCUGGUUUCUGGGGUGCUGACAUCAGUCCCGCCCAUUGGUUCCCUCUGUUUCCACUCAACUAAUGGCUCGUCACCACAUUAAUUACGUCCGGCUCAUAAGGAGAGUCCACCUGUUGCUCCAGGCAGCUUGUCACCGUCUAUUGACUUGUGUGCCGCUGGUAUUGACUGCAUACCCUGCCUAAAUGAACACAUCGGCCAUCCCCCACUCUUCCACUACUGAUGAUUUGUUGGGUGUCAUGUGAGGGUUAUGGCAGUCCCACUUCUCCACUUGCCUCAUCAAUGUUUCCCGUAAAGCCACCAAACAAUGUGUAUGAACAUUUUACAGUUUUUUCUGGGUUUCACAUGACUAGUUGGAGUUGGAUAUUGUAUUUUGGCUAUAAAAUCUUUUUCUGUUUCUUAUACCAAUCUGUUCUUUAUACCAUGGUCAUGGAAAAUGGUUAAAAUCUAAAUGGCUGGCAGUAAUCAUCUAUCAAGACAAACUUAUCGCUUGUCGCUAAUUAAAACGUUAUCUUGUGUGUUUAGGCCGUAGAAUCUCAUGUGUCUCCUGGCUUUAGCUUUAUAUGUAGAGUAUGAUAUCAUGAGUGUGGUAUAUAUCUUCUCAUCGCUCUCAGGGAGAAAGAAAUCUUACUUUCUUACCAUCAUCAUUACUAAUGGUACACUACACUAUGCAAGACUGAUAGCAAUGUCAAUAUAUUGAGCUUUUUAACUAAGCCACACUGUUGCUAUUAUUAGAGUUUAAUACUUACGCAUUCAUAUAAAAAUAACACCUGAGUCAUAGGUUUGUGGUUACUGUACAGUUACUAGAAACUAAUUGUCAACUGGAGUGAAGUUUCUUGUUCCUGCAGUUGUUAAAGACAGAAAUGAGCUGUAAAAUGUGUUUAUUGGAUUGAAUGUUAGUUUGGCAAUUAUCUACUUUGUUUUAAGUUUCUGUCCUCUCUUUUUAUCUCAGACAUUUCAAAUAAAAUUUAAAAUGUGUAUUUUAAAUAAAAUUUAAAAUGUGUCGCUCA